GCGCGCUUGGCUCAGCGGUAGAGCACCGCCUUCACACGGCGGGGGUCCCAGGUUCGAAUCCUGGAGCGCGCACCA
RNAcentral lists this transfer RNA (75 nucleotides) under Acidobacteriota bacterium. RNAcentral's name for it is "Acidobacteria bacterium (wastewater metagenome) tRNA-Val". It matches the Rfam family "tRNA". Rfam says of the family: Transfer RNA (tRNA) molecules are approximately 80 nucleotides in length. Their secondary structure includes four short double-helical elements and three loops (D, anti-codon, and T loops). Further hydrogen bonds mediate the characteristic L-shaped molecular structure. tRNAs have two regions of fundamental functional importance: the anti-codon, which is responsible for specific mRNA codon recognition, and the 3' end, to which the tRNAs corresponding amino acid is attached (by aminoacyl-tRNA synthetases). tRNAs cope with the degeneracy of the genetic code in two manners: having more than one tRNA (with a specific anti-codon) for a particular amino acid; and 'wobble' base-pairing, i.e. permitting non-standard base-pairing at the 3rd anti-codon position. Lineage: Bacteria; Pseudomonadati; Acidobacteriota. The record is from RNAcentral. RNAcentral also lists the same sequence under 2 other names.